RNAcentral lists this transfer RNA (77 nucleotides) under Planctomycetota bacterium. RNAcentral describes it as "Planctomycetes bacterium (activated sludge metagenome) tRNA-His". It matches the Rfam family "tRNA". Rfam says of the family: Transfer RNA (tRNA) molecules are approximately 80 nucleotides in length. Lineage: Bacteria; Pseudomonadati; Planctomycetota. The record is from RNAcentral.
GUGGAUAUAGCUCAGCUGGUUAGAGCGCCGGUUUGUGGUACCGGAGGUCGGGGGUUCGAAUCCCCUUAUCCACCCCA